This 69-nucleotide transfer RNA is filed under the name Ictidomys tridecemlineatus (thirteen-lined ground squirrel). Its description in RNAcentral is "Spermophilus tridecemlineatus (thirteen-lined ground squirrel) tRNA". It matches the Rfam family "tRNA". From Rfam's summary of the family: Transfer RNA (tRNA) molecules are approximately 80 nucleotides in length. Their secondary structure includes four short double-helical elements and three loops (D, anti-codon, and T loops). The record is from Rfam by way of RNAcentral. Lineage: Eukaryota; Metazoa; Chordata; Mammalia; Rodentia; Sciuridae.
GGGGCUGGGGCUCAGUGGUAGAGCGCUUGCUUAGCAUGCAUGAGGCACUAGGUUUGAUUCUCAGCACCA